RNAcentral lists this ribosomal RNA (379 nucleotides) under uncultured cyanobacterium. RNAcentral's name for it is "bacterial SSU rRNA". It matches the Rfam family "Bacterial small subunit ribosomal RNA", at positions 376 to 770 of the family's 1533-position model. The record is from RNAcentral. Lineage: Bacteria; Bacillati; Cyanobacteriota.
CGCAAGCCUGACGGAGCCAGACCGCGUGAGGGAAGAAAGACCUUGGUUCGUAAACCUCUUUUCUCAAGGAAGAAGAAGUGACGGUACUUGAGGAAUCAGCAUCGGCUAACUCCGUGCCAGCAGCCGCGGUAAUACGGAGGAGGCAAGCGUUAUCCGGAAUCAUUGGGCGUAAAGCGUUCGUAGGCGGCUGUUCAAGUCUGCUGUCAAAGACCGAGGCUCAACCUCGGGUCGGCAGUGGAAACUGGAUAGCUAGAGGUCGGUAGGGGCAAAGGGAAUUCCCAGUGUAGCGGUGAAAUGCGUAGAUAUUGGGAAGAACACCGGUGGCGAAAGCGCUUUGCUGGACCGAACCUGACGCUGAGGGACGAAAGCUAGGGGAGCG